CCCCAGUGCGGGGUUCUAUACAUGCAAGUCGAGCGGACAGAUGGGAGCUUGCUCCCUGAUGUUAGCGGCGGACGGGUGAGUAACACGUGGGUAACCUGCCUGUAAGACUGGGAUAACUCCGGGAAACCGGGGCUAAUACCGGAUGGUUGUUUGAACCGCAUGGUUCAAACAUAAAAGGUGGCUUCGGCUACCACUUACAGAUGGACCCGCGGCGCAUUAGCUAGUUGGUGAGGUAACGGCUCACCAAGGCAACGAUGCGUAGCCGACCUGAGAGGGUGAUCGGCCACACUGGGACUGAGACACGGCCCAGACUCCUACGGGAGGCAGCAGUAGGGAAUCUUCCGCAAUGGACGAAAGUCUGACGGAGCAACGCCGCGUGAGUGAUGAAGGUUUUCGGAUCGUAAAGCUCUGUUGUUAGGGAAGAACAAGUACCGUUCGAAUAGGGCGGUACCUUGACGGUACCUAACCAGAAAGCCACGGCUAACUACGUGCCAGCAGCCGCGGUAAUACGUAGGUGGCAAGCGUUGUCCGGAAUUAUUGGGCGUAAAGGGCUCGCAGGCGGUUUCUUAAGUCUGAUGUGAAAGCCCCCGGCUCAACCGGGGAGGGUCAUUGGAAACUGGGGAACUUGAGUGCAGAAGAGGAGAGUGGAAUUCCACGUGUAGCGGUGAAAUGCGUAUAGAUGUGGAGGAAACACCAGUGACGAAGGCGACUCUCUGGUCUGUAACUGACACUGAGGAGCGAAAGCGUGAGGAGCGAAAAUGAAUAAAUAACCUGGUAGUCCACGCCCUAAACCCAUGAAAGUU
RNAcentral lists this ribosomal RNA (803 nucleotides) under Bacillus subtilis. RNAcentral describes it as "bacterial SSU rRNA". It matches the Rfam family "Bacterial small subunit ribosomal RNA", at positions 34 to 817 of the family's 1533-position model. Lineage: Bacteria; Bacillati; Bacillota; Bacilli; Caryophanales; Bacillaceae. The record is from RNAcentral.